AUGAGCGAAAAUGCAGAAAUCAGUGCAAUAUUUUGUUAUCGAUUGAUCUCCCCAGGAGGACAAUGCACAGAGUGGAAACAAAUUCGAGUGUUGAACUUAUCUAGUGCAGAAGGAAAAUGUAGGAUGGGAGGGUGGGAGAAGGUCAUGGGGAAAACUUUGCUUGAAGCUGAAUAUGUGGAAUUUGACCGCUUCUUGAUUGAAUUUUCCAUCUCUGUUAUGAACGAUCCACUGGUCACUUGCAGUGACUUAUUAUCACCCCAAGAGAAGCUGCCACCAUCACACAUAUCAACCGACUUUGCCAAUCUUCUAGAGUCAAAAGAAGGGGCGGACGUGACAAAAGCGCAUAAGUUGUAG
RNAcentral lists this ribosomal RNA (354 nucleotides) under Triticum aestivum (bread wheat). RNAcentral describes it as "partial small subunit ribosomal RNA". Lineage: Eukaryota; Viridiplantae; Streptophyta; Magnoliopsida; Poales; Poaceae. The record is from RNAcentral.